GAUGAACGCUGGCGGCGUGCUUAACACAUGCAAGUCGAACGAAGCAUUUUGAAAUGAGACUUCGGUGGAUUUUUGAAAUGACUGAGUGGCGGACGGGUGAGUAACGCGUGGGCAACCUGCCUUACACAGGGGGACAACAGUUAGAAAUAGCUGCUAAUACCGCAUAAGCGCACAGUACCGCAUGGUACAGUGUGAAAAACUCCGGUGGUGUAAGAUGGGCCCGCGUUGGAUUAGCUAGUUGGAGGGGUAACGGCCCACCAAGGCGACGAUCCAUAGCCGACCUGAGAGGGUGACCGGCCACAUUGGGACUGAGACACGGCCCAG
RNAcentral lists this ribosomal RNA (324 nucleotides) under uncultured bacterium. Its description in RNAcentral is "bacterial SSU rRNA". It matches the Rfam family "Bacterial small subunit ribosomal RNA", at positions 28 to 334 of the family's 1533-position model. The record is from RNAcentral.